UUGUCGGCUAAAUACCGACCUGCACGUAUGGUGUAACGACUUGGGCGCUGUCUCAACAGGGGACUCGGCGAAAUUGUAGUUCCGGUGAAGAUGCCGGAUACCCGCGACGGGACGGAAAGACCCCAUGAACCUUUACUCCAGCCUGGUACUGGGUUUCGACUCAGUAUGUGCAGGAUAGGUGGGAGACUGUGAAGCGGGAACGUCAGUUCUCGUGGAGUCGCCCUUGAAAUACCACCCUUAUUGUGUUGGAAUUCUAACCUCGAUCCUUGAAUCAGGAUUGGGAACACUGCCAGGUGGGAAGUUUGGCUGGGGCGGCCGGUCGGCAAUCGCGCGAAGAGUGCAAAGGCAUAAGGGAGCUUAACUGCGAGACAUACAGGUCGAGCAGAUGCGAAAGCAGGGCUUAGUGACCCGGCGGUUGCGCGUGGAAGCGCCGGAGAUCAACGGAUAAAAGGUACUCCGGGGAUAACAGGCUUAUCUCCCCCAAGCGUACAUAGCGACGGGGAGGUUUGGCACCUCGAUGUCGGCUCAUCACAUCCUGGGGCUGGACAAGGUCCCAAGGGUUUCCCUGUUCGGGAAUUAAAGUCGGUACGCGAGCUGGGUUUAGAACGUCGUGAGACAGUUCGGUCCCUAUCUGUCGUGGGCGCAGGAUAUUUGAGGAGAGCUGUCCCUAGUACGAGAGGACCGGGAUGGACGAACCUCUAGUGUACCAGUUGUCUCGCCAGGGGCAUUGCUGGGUAGCUAUGUUCGGAAGGGAUAAGCGCUGAAAGCAUCUAAGUGCGAAGCCCACUCCAAGAUGAGAUAUCCCGUGGGAUAACCCACCUAAAGGCUCCUUGUAGACUACAAGGUCGAUAGGUCACAGGUGUAAGCGCAGCAAUGCGUUCAGCCGAGUGAUACUAAUCAGCCGUGAGGCUUGACCUU
RNAcentral lists this ribosomal RNA (918 nucleotides) under Gemmatimonadota bacterium. RNAcentral's name for it is "Gemmatimonadetes bacterium partial 23S ribosomal RNA". It matches the Rfam family "Bacterial large subunit ribosomal RNA", at positions 1969 to 2925 of the family's 2925-position model. The record is from RNAcentral. Lineage: Bacteria; Pseudomonadati; Gemmatimonadota.